UGGCUCAUUAUAUAAGUUAUCGUUUAUUUGAUAGUACCUUACUACUUGGAUAACCGUGGUAAUUCUAGAGCUAAUACAUGCUGAAAAUCCCGACUUCGGAAGGGAUGUAUUUAUUAGAUUAAAAACCAAUGCCCUCUGGGCUCCUUGGUGAUUCAUAAUAACUUUUCGAAUCGCACGGCCUUGCGCCGGCGAUGGUUCAUUCAAAUUUCUUCCCUAUCAACUUUCGAUGUUUGGGUAUUGGCCAAACAUGGUUGCAACGGGUAACGGAGGGUUAGGGCUCGACCCCGGAGAAGGAGCCUGAGAAACGGCUACUACAUCCAAGGAAGGCAGCAGGCGCGCAAAUUACCCAAUCCCGAUUCGGGGAGGUAGUGACAAUAAAUACUGAUACAGGGCUCUUUUGGGUCUUGUAAUUGGAAUGAGUACAAUUUAAAUCUCUUAACGAGGAACAAUUGGAGGGCAAGUCUGGUGCCAGCAGCCGCGGUAAUUCCAGCUCCAAUAGCGUAUAUUAAAGUUGUUGUGGUUAAAAAGCUCGUAGUUGAACCUUGGGCCUGGCUGGCCGGUCCGCCUCACCGCGUGUACUGGUCCGGCCGGGCCUUUCCCUCUGUGGAACCUCAUGCCCUUCACUGGGUGUGGCGGGGAAACAGGACUUUUACUUUGAAAAAAUUAGAGUGCUCCAGGCAGGCCUAUGCUCGAAUACAUUAGCAUGGAAUAAUAAAAUAGGACGCGUGGUUCUAUUUUGUUGGUUUCUAGGACCGCCGUAAUGAUUAAUAGGGACAGUCGGGGGCAUCAGUAUUCAAUUGUCAGAGGUGAAAUUCUUAGAUUUAUUGAAGACUAACUACUGCGAAAGCAUUUGCCAAGGAUGUUUUCAUUAAUCAGGAACGAAAGUUAGGGGAUCGAAGACGAUCAGAUACCGUCGUAGUCUUAACCAUAANCUAUGCCGACUAGGGAUCGGACGAUGUUAUUUUUUNGACGCGUUCGGCAUCUUACGAGAAAUCAAAGUGCUUGG
This 1006-nucleotide ribosomal RNA is filed under the name Beauveria sp. RNAcentral describes it as "SSU rRNA". It matches the Rfam family "Eukaryotic small subunit ribosomal RNA", at positions 94 to 1110 of the family's 1831-position model. Lineage: Eukaryota; Fungi; Ascomycota; Sordariomycetes; Hypocreales; Cordycipitaceae. The record is from RNAcentral.